UACGGGGGGGGCAAGCGUUGUUCGGAAUUACUGGGCGUAAAGGGCUCGUAGGCGGCCAACUAAGUCGGAUGUGAAAUCCCCAGGCUUAACCUGGGAACUGCAUCCGAUACUGGAUGGCUUGAAUCCGGGAGAGGGAUGCAGAAUUCCAGGUGUAGCGGUGAAAUGCGCAGAGAUCGGGAGGAACACCAAUGGCGAAAGCAGGUACCUGGACCAUUACUGACACUCAGCCGCGAAAGCUAGGGGAGCAAACAGG
Molecule: ribosomal RNA, 253 nt
Filed under: uncultured bacterium
Lineage: Bacteria
Description: partial 16S ribosomal RNA
Rfam family: Bacterial small subunit ribosomal RNA
Source: RNAcentral